Molecule: long non-coding RNA, 4367 nt
Filed under: Homo sapiens (human)
Lineage: Eukaryota; Metazoa; Chordata; Mammalia; Primates; Hominidae
Description: HSALNT0342932
Source: RNAcentral
AAUUCUGUCUGGACACAAAGGAAAAAUCGGAAUUGGCAGAUACUCUCUCGGUUACUCCCUGGUUGCAGUUAAUGAGCAGCCUGUUCGCCUGCAGCCUUUAGACAGGGAACAAGGGGCACAGCUUUUCCCACUUUAUUGGUUACUGACUGGGAAAGAAGGAUUCCACUAGCACUGCUUGGCUAUCAAAGCUGGGCAAUGUGAUCCUCUAAGCCACAUGUUUAGGAAUUGACAAACAAUUGUGGAGGUUGGCAAUUCCAAAAUCUGAGGAGUAGGUAAACUGGAAGACUAGAGACCCUGGGAAGAGUUGAUGUUACAGCUUGAAUCUGAAGGCAGUCUGCUGGAAGAAUCCCCUCUUUCUUGUAGAAGCCCCUUGACUGGGCAAACUUCAAACAAGUGACUGAGCUCCCUUAGCUGCCACUGAUUGGACCAGGAUGGACAACAAAUGUAGGAGGAGUUCAUCUGGAUCUAGCCUGAGCCAGUCAGAUAUCCCCUUUGAAUCCAUGCCUAUAGAAAUACAAAAAAAUGGAAGCCAGAGGAUGAUGGAUCCUUGAAGUAAUAAGUCAGCUCUGUGGAAGUUUGAGUGACUCAUUGCAGAGAGGAAUUGAUGAAGUCAACAGCUGCUGGAAAAACUUCUUUUUCCUUAAUAGCUGUAUCAACAUGUGGUUGCUAUUAUUCAAGUAAGAAAAAUAUGUAUAUCAAACAUCCAUGGUAGUCCUUGCUAAAAUUUUCAUUAGAGAGACUCAUGUUUUGACAUUAAAAAAAGUUCAAAUGGGUACCUUAGAGGAUGUUUUGUUGGAGAACAAAAUCAUGGAGAAAUAAAGUCUAAAAAGAAAAAUAAAUGGCAAGCAUGUUGUUAAUAAUGCUGUAAUUUAUUUCAGAGUGGGUUGGGUGAUUUUCUUCAUGGCAUUAUUAGUGGCACUGCAGAAAUUUGGCACCUCAUGCAUUCAUAGUCUCCAGGAUGGUCUGACCAUUCAUCCAACAAAUAUUAAUUGCUCUCAUGGUAAAAUCUCUGCCUCAUGGAGUUUAAAUCCUAAAAGUGGUGAAAAACUAAACACUGUGAACAGUUAAUUACUCAAUAUGGUAUGUACUGUGAAGGAAGUAGGCAAGAAGCUAAGAUAGAGAUUAAGAUAAAAGGACUUGCUUCACUUAGGGAAGACAUGGGAGACCUCUCUGAGGGUUGACAUUGAGGCUGAGACCUAAAGAAUGAGAAGGAGGUAGCAAAGUAGAGAGAAUGGUGUAAGAUCAUCUUGGUCAGAAGGAGCAGCUGUGCAAAGUCCUCUGACUUUGAGAGGGACCAUAGCAUGUUCUUGGGACUGAAGGAACAUCAGUGUGUCUAGAGCACAGAUCAUGAGGAGGUUGUGGUAUGCAAUUAGAUUGGAGAGAUAGGCAGGAGCUGAAUCAGAUAACUUUGUAGGCCUUGGUAAAGAGAUGUGAUUUUAUGAAUGCAUUUUACUGAAUGCAGUGAGAAAAUACUAGAGGAUUUUAAGUUCUGUGUGUGUGUAUGUGUGUGUACCUCUGUGAAAAUAUGUGUUGCUGUAGAGCAAAGUGGCCAAAUGAGUUGGGUGGGGUUAAGGGUGGAAACAGGUAGACUGCCUAAAGUAGACCAGGAUUUAAAUUAUGGCUGCUCAUACUGAGGUUGUGGCAGUGGAAUCGAGGCAGGGGUGCAAAAGCAAGAUAUAUUUUGAAGAAGGAACUGAUAGAAUCUGGUAAUGAAUUGGCUAUAGGUCUUGAGGAAAAGAAAAGUCUCUGGGGACUCAUAGGUUUUAAGCUUGGGUAGCUAUGUGGAUGAUUGAACAAUUAAAAAUGAUGUAGAAUAUUUGGCAGGGUGGAGGAAGCAUGAGUAAUACAGUUUUUAUCUAUGAGACAGCCACGGAAGAUGAGAGAAUCUGGAGAGAACAUGCACAGAGAGACAAGAAGAGGGCUUAGGAUGGAGCCUUGGGCUAUUUCUUCAUUUAUGGGUUGGGUAGAGGACAUCUGAGGAGUAAACGAUCUCAAAAGCAGAAUAACAAACUGGAUGACGAACACCCCUGGGAGCAGAUAUAUUAGAACAAAAGGACCAAUAAUUUAUAUCUUCUUAAAUAAACAUCCUAAUUGAGAAAAAGAAAUGUAUUAGCAACAUGAACCAAGACAAGAAAUUCCCCCCACAAAAAAAAGCCAUGUAAAAUAUCAGGAUAAAAAUGUAGACUUGAAGGAACCUAAUAGGUGGGAUAAAUAGUGACAUAGCUACAGCUAAAGAAUGAUGGAGUUGAAAGACCAGAUGGAAGAAUGCUUCUAGAAUGAUAGAAAAUGUAAAAGUUCAUAGCCAGAGAUAAUAGAAGUACCAGGUUUUAGAUACUUAGAGUCCCUGAAGGAAAAAUUAUAAAAAUUAAAAGAGGAAAAUAUUUAAAGAAAUGUGAAGAACAUUUUCAAAAGAAAGAACAGCUACAGAUUGAAAUGGUCUUUAGAGAACCACUUCAUGGGAAAUAUAUAUUAAAAAUAUUAAGUAAAUAUAUAUUUUAAAAAUUCACACACAGGUCCAUUAUAUUGAGAUUUAAGAAUAUCAUAGGCAAAGAGAAAAUGAUAAAUGACACAAAUGACAUCGGAGUUUUCAAUAAAUGCAGAAUUCCAGAGGCAAUGGAGUAAUUUUUAAAAAAUACUUAAGAAAAUAAAUUUGAAGGUAGAAUUUUACAAUUAAUAAAUUUGUAUUUCAAACAUGUGAUGACAAUAAAAAUAUUCUCAGGCAUACAAGUCCUUUUUACCAUAAAAAGGACUACCAUUGAAAAGAUAUUUUAACAUAAGUGCUCCAAAAGAGAAAGAGAAGAAAAAAUAUCAAGAAAAAAAAGAACUAUAUCCAAAAUACCACAGAAUUAAAGCUCUAUAUGGUGUCAAUAUGAUUGGCAACCCUGGUGGGGGGAAGACCAAAAGUAAUGAACAUAUACUAAAAAUCUUGUCUAGUUAGAGGGUGUAUAUACACAAACAUAUAUAUAUAUAUAUAUAUAAUAUACUGUAUAUAUAUUAAUUACUUUAAAUAAGAAAGUAUUAAAAAGAAACAAAAAAUAGAAUACUUGCAAUAAAAUGUAAGAAAAUAGAAGAAAAGAAAAAUGUAUCAACAAUCACCAUGAAUAUAAAUAGACCCAAUGUGCCAGUUAAAGAAUAGACCAUCAGAUUGGAUAAAAAACAAAAUCCAACCCUGUGCUGUUUAUAAAAGACUCUCAUAAAGCAUAAGAACAUGGAAACCUUAUAGGCAUACAGUCUAAGAGAUACCAUUCACAUGACAGUCUCUCUAAAUGGCAUUACCUAGAGCUGGGUAGUGUACUGCUGAUAUUGCUAGUGCAUGACAGCCCUCAGAGUAAAAGAUUGGACCUAAAUACAUCAGGAAGAUGUUUAUCUUUUAUUUUAUUUUAUUUUAUUUUUUUGAGAUGGAGUCUUGUGAUCUCGGCUCACUGCAACCUCUGCCUCCCGGGUUCAAGCGAUUCUCUUGCCUCAGCUUCCCCAGUAGCUGGGAUUACAGGUGCCCACCACCAUGUCUGGCUAAUUUUUUUAGUUUUAGUAGAGACAGGGUUUUACCAUGUUGUCCAGGCUGGUCUCGAACUCCUGACCUCAGGUGAUCCACCUGCCUCGACCUCCCAAAGUGCUGGGAUUACAGGCGUGAGCACCGCGCCCAGCCAGGAAAGUGCUUAAGUAAGCAGGUAUGACUGUGUAAGUUUUUAGCAAAAUAAACUUUAUGACAAAACAAUAAUUAAAGAUAGGAAGACUCACUACCUAACCAUAAAAGGUAUGUAGAACCAACAUAUCUGUAAGAUAGAAUAUUUCUAAACAGGUAUGCACUGAAUAGAGUAGCUUGAAAUGUAUAUAAAGCAAACAAUUAUAAAUCCAUUAGGAGGGACCGAUAGUCUAGUCUUCUCAUUUAAGAAACGGACUAGACAAAAAAGUCAUUAAAAUAUUGAAAAUCUGAACAACAAAACAUAAGGCUGAUAUAAUAGACAUAUAUUGAAUUCUGCAUCUAAAAAUUAGAGGAUGCUUAUUCCUCUGAAGCAUACAUUAAAUAUUUAUAAAAAUUUAUCAUGGACCUGACCAUAAAAUGUCUUAAUACAUUUCAAAAACAAGUAUAUUUAGAUCAUAUUUUAUCCAAAAAUAGAGCUAGAAAUUAAAACGAAAACUAAUUUAAGAAAUUUUAUAUAUUUGGCAAUUAAAAAACGUAACAUUUGUCAAAAGUCAUUGAACUGUAGUUAGGAUAUAUGUAUUUCACUUUAAUGUUAAUUAUGCCUCAAUAUUAAGUCAAUUGCUUGUCUAAAGACAGUCAACAAUUAGCAAAUAUGUACUAAAAUAGUCACUAGGCAUAAUAAUUAUCAUACUUAGAAUAAAUAAAUCAUAAAACAUGAAAAAAC